AUAAUCUUUUCCAUGGAUUUGGACAAAAUUGGAUUCUAGCAUGUUGUAUACAUCAAAACCAAUACAGGGUCUGUAAAUAAGAACUACAAUCCCUUACACAAGGAAAGACCAGAAAACAACAGAACACCUAUAGGCAAAAAAGGGCAAAUUAUAAGAUCAGACCACUUAAAAUUUGAGUUAGAGACCCUGUACAAAAGUAUGGAGAAUUUUAUAACCAUUUGAGAUGAAUGAUCAAUCCGAAUUGUAGGCAGUAGGGGUUGGAGCAGGUGUAGUGGAGGUUGAGCUAAACCCUGGACCACUUUCUUUCAUCUUGCUGGGCAUUUUCUUGGCUACCGACGCCAUUGAAGUAACUGAUUUGAAGAAACCCUUGAUGAUUCUCAUCUUAACUUGGCCUCUCCUAGGCGGGAGACUUUGUUGUUGCUUCUUGGUGGGGCUUGUAACAGUGAAUUCCAUUUCUGCCAAAAUAUGGGAGUUGCAAAGCAGAGGAGUAUACCAAGGAAAAAACAAGAGUAUGAAACCGUUUAAUCUCUCUGCUUCUCUUACAAGGCAGAAAGAAAAAAUGGAAGAGGGUUUGUUUUGUUUUAAGGACAAAAAUGAUUAAGGGAGUUUUGGGUGUUUGAAGAGUGUUGAGAACUGAGACAAGUGUUUUGAGUGAAGCAGGGAUUUAUGAAGAGAGCAAAGCCUUUCUAAAGGAUAAAAAAUUUGGUUUCUU
This 712-nucleotide long non-coding RNA is filed under the name Gossypium raimondii (Peruvian cotton). RNAcentral's name for it is "long non-coding RNA (GRAI_LNC006921)". Lineage: Eukaryota; Viridiplantae; Streptophyta; Magnoliopsida; Malvales; Malvaceae. The record is from RNAcentral.